GCAAGUCUGGUGCCAGCAGCCGCGGUAAUUCCAGCUCCAAUAGCGUAUAUUAAAGUUGUCGCAGUUAAAAAGCUCGUAGUUGAACCUCGGGAUCAAUGGAUCGGUCAUGCCAUCGGUAUGUACUGGUCUCAUUGGUUCUCACCUUCUAAGGAACCAUGAUGUCAUUCAGUUGAUGUUGUGGGGAAUUAGGACUGUUACCUUGAAAAAAUUAGAGUGUUUAAAGCAGGCUAACGCUUGAAUACAUUAGCAUGGAAUAAUGAAAUAGGACAUCGCAUUCUAUUUUGUUGGUUUCUAGGAUCGAUGUAAUGAUUAAUAGGGAUAGUUGGGGGCAUUAGUAUUCAAUUGUCAGAGGUGAAAUUCUUGGAUUUAUUGAAGACUAACUACUGCGAAAGCAUUUGCCAGGGAUGUUUUCAUUAAUCAAGAACGAAAGUUAGGGGAUCGAAGACGAUCAGAUACCGUCGUAGCCUUAACCAUAAACUAUGCCGACUAGGGAUCGGAUGAUGUUGAUUUUUUAAUGACUCAUUCGGCGCCUUACGGAAAC
This 541-nucleotide ribosomal RNA is filed under the name uncultured Glomeromycotina. RNAcentral's name for it is "SSU rRNA". It matches the Rfam family "Eukaryotic small subunit ribosomal RNA", at positions 555 to 1098 of the family's 1831-position model. Lineage: Eukaryota; Fungi; Glomeromycota. The record is from RNAcentral.